Molecule: ribosomal RNA, 253 nt
Filed under: uncultured bacterium
Lineage: Bacteria
Description: partial 16S ribosomal RNA
Rfam family: Bacterial small subunit ribosomal RNA
Source: RNAcentral
GACAGAGGGUGCGAGCGUUGUUCGGAAUUACUGGGCUUAAAGGGUUUGAAGGCGGCUUUGUAAGUCAGGUGUGAAAGCCCUCGGCUCAACCGAGGAACAGCGCUUGAUACUGCAAGGCUUGAGGGAGACAGGGGUAAGCGGAACUGAUGGUGGAGCGGUGAAAUGCGUUGAUAUCAGCAGGAACACCGGUGGCGAAAGCGGCUUACUGGGUCUCUUCUGACGCUGAGGAACGAAAGCUAGGGUAGCGAACGGG